UUAUUCCUGCCCUGUGCGCGGAACGGCAUUUGCCUGGACCCUUUUAGACCCACAUUUUUAAUAAGGGACGCUGCAUCCCCGCGUGGAUUGCAGGCCUCCCGGUACCAUGGACCGGAAGUUGGAAGCGAGGUAGCGCGGGGGAGGCGACCCACCUGCCGAGUCGUGCAGGUUAUAAUCGGGUCCCCACGGCAGCGGCGGGGGUUGC
Molecule: non-coding RNA, 205 nt
Filed under: Candidatus Scatomorpha stercorigallinarum
Lineage: Bacteria; Bacillati; Bacillota; Clostridia; Eubacteriales
Description: 6S RNA
Rfam family: 6S / SsrS RNA
About the family: E. coli 6S RNA was the first non coding RNA to be sequenced, but its function was unknown until recently.
Source: RNAcentral